Molecule: transfer RNA, 65 nt
Filed under: Dipodomys ordii (Ord's kangaroo rat)
Lineage: Eukaryota; Metazoa; Chordata; Mammalia; Rodentia; Heteromyidae
Rfam family: tRNA
About the family: Transfer RNA (tRNA) molecules are approximately 80 nucleotides in length. Their secondary structure includes four short double-helical elements and three loops (D, anti-codon, and T loops). Further hydrogen bonds mediate the characteristic L-shaped molecular structure. tRNAs have two regions of fundamental functional importance: the anti-codon, which is responsible for specific mRNA codon recognition, and the 3' end, to which the tRNAs corresponding amino acid is attached (by aminoacyl-tRNA synthetases). tRNAs cope with the degeneracy of the genetic code in two manners: having more than one tRNA (with a specific anti-codon) for a particular amino acid; and 'wobble' base-pairing, i.e. permitting non-standard base-pairing at the 3rd anti-codon position.
Source: Rfam by way of RNAcentral
GGUGGCUCAGUGGUAGAGUACUUGCCUUGCAUGCAUGAGACCCUGGGUUCGAUUCCACAGCACCA